Molecule: small RNA, 26 nt
Filed under: Bombyx mori (domestic silkworm)
Lineage: Eukaryota; Metazoa; Arthropoda; Insecta; Lepidoptera; Bombycidae
Description: ovarian small RNA-29702
Source: RNAcentral
UCUCGAAGAUUCUGCAUGCCAGCGAU